This 487-nucleotide ribosomal RNA is filed under the name uncultured soil bacterium. Its description in RNAcentral is "bacterial SSU rRNA". It matches the Rfam family "Bacterial small subunit ribosomal RNA", at positions 26 to 505 of the family's 1533-position model. The record is from RNAcentral.
AGAUUGAACGCUGGCGGCAGGCCUAACACAUGCAAGUCGAGCGGUAGAGAGGUGCUUGCAUCUCUUGAGAGCGGCGGACGGGUGAGUAAUGCCUAGGAAUCUGCCUAGUGGUGGGGGAUAACGUUCGGAAACGGACGCUAAUACCGCAUACGUCCUACGGGAGAAAGCGGGGGACCUUCGGGCCUCGCGCCAUUAGAUGAGCCUAGGUCGGAUUAGCUAGUUGGUGAGGUAAUGGCUCACCAAGGCGACGAUCCGUAACUGGUCUGAGAGGAUGAUCAGUCACACUGGAACUGAGACACGGUCCAGACUCCUACGGGAGGCAGCAGUGGGGAAUAUUGGACAAUGGGCGAAAGCCUGAUCCAGCCAUGCCGCGUGUGUGAAGAAGGUCUUCGGAUUGUAAAGCACUUUAAAGUUGGAGUAAGGGUUGUAACCUAAUACGUUGACAACUUUGACGUCAACCGACAGAAUAAGCAACCGGCUAACUUCG